AACGAACGCUGGCGGCAUGCCUAACACAUGCAAGUCGAACGAGAUCUUCGGGUCUAGUGGCGCACGGGUGCGUAACGCGUGGGAAUCUGCCCUUUGGUUCGGAAUAACAGUCGGAAACGACUGCUAAUACCGGAUGAUGACGAAAGUCCAAAGAUUUAUCGCCAGAGGAUGAGCCCGCGUAGGAUUAGCUAGUUGGUGUGGUAAAGGCGCACCAAGGCGACGAUCCUUAGCUGGUCUGAGAGGAUGAUCAGCCACACGGGGACUGGGACACGGCCCAGACUCCUACGGGAGGCAGCAGUGGGGAAUAUUGGACGAUGGGCGAAAGCCUGAUCCAGCAAUGCCGCGUGAGUGAUGAAGGCCUUAGGGUUGUAAAGCUCUUUUACCCGGGAUGAUAAUGACAGUACCGGGAGAAUAAGCUCCGGCUAACUCCGUGCCAGCCGCCGCCGUAA
Molecule: ribosomal RNA, 449 nt
Filed under: uncultured bacterium
Lineage: Bacteria
Description: partial 16S ribosomal RNA
Rfam family: Bacterial small subunit ribosomal RNA
Source: RNAcentral